GCUCCAGUAGCGUAUAUUAAAGUUGUUGCAGUUAAAAAGCUCGUAGUUGGAUUUCUGGCUUGAGACGCUGGCCGCCAGGUUUACCUGUGUGAGUGCCGGAUUGUGUCUCUGCCAUCCUUCUAGAAGUCGUGCCUCCAUUUACUUGGGUGGGUUCGGGGUCUAGAUCUUUUACUUUGAAAAAAUUAGAGUGUUUAAAGCAG
RNAcentral lists this ribosomal RNA (200 nucleotides) under uncultured eukaryote. Its description in RNAcentral is "partial 18S ribosomal RNA". It matches the Rfam family "Eukaryotic small subunit ribosomal RNA", at positions 588 to 783 of the family's 1831-position model. The record is from RNAcentral.